Molecule: long non-coding RNA, 596 nt
Filed under: Olea europaea subsp. europaea
Lineage: Eukaryota; Viridiplantae; Streptophyta; Magnoliopsida; Lamiales; Oleaceae
Source: RNAcentral
CAUUAUGCCACCCCAUACAAUACAACCUUCUCCUCCUCUUCCUCCUCUGUCCACCACUUAUUUAAUUUUCUCCUUCCUCAUCCUGGCACGCACCUGAAAAAUAUAUGGCUACAAUUUUUUCAUCGUAAUCUCCAUCGGCCAACGACAACCACAUCCCUACAGCCACCAUAGCUCUACAACUCGUUGCUAUUUUUGCCUCCGCUUCUUGCCACCUGUCGUCGCCAGAAGAUGGAUAAACUCUGCAAGCGCAACCGUACUAAGAUCCAACGCGUCUUUGCUUUUGGUGGCUUCAGCCAAUUUUUCUCCUCAUGGGUCCACUUCCAAUGCAUGCACUCCAUGGAAAAGGACCCCAACUCAACCACUCUUUCCUCUGACGACAAGCUACCAAAAGAAGAACACAAGAACAUUAAACGCAUUGUUAAUAUUCUUGGGCUGCCUCACUAUUUUACUUAGCCUGUUGGGCUACACUUUAUUCUUGGGCCGCCUAUUUUCUAAAAUCAGGUUGGAAAUGUAAAACGUGUUUUAUAAAAGGACCACUUUUCCUCUUUUUAAAUGGGUUGUGAUUUGUCAUCCACGUGGCUUACUCUUGACCCUGG